ACGUAGGGUGCUAGCGUUACUCGGAAUCAUUGGGCGUAAAGGGUGCGUAGGCGGAACGGUAAGUCAGAUGUGAAAGCCUUGGGCUCAACCCAAGAAGAGCAUUUGAUACUGUCGUUCUAGAGUACAGGAGAGGAAGGUGGAAUUCCCGGUGUAGAGGUGAAAUCCGUAGAUAUCGGGAGGAAUACCAGAGGCGAAGGCGGCCUUCUGGACUGACACUGACGCUGAGGCACGAAAGCGUGGGGAGCAAACAG
Molecule: ribosomal RNA, 251 nt
Filed under: uncultured prokaryote
Description: partial 16S rRNA
Rfam family: Bacterial small subunit ribosomal RNA
Source: RNAcentral